RNAcentral lists this ribosomal RNA (498 nucleotides) under uncultured Atopostipes sp. RNAcentral describes it as "bacterial SSU rRNA". It matches the Rfam family "Bacterial small subunit ribosomal RNA", at positions 28 to 507 of the family's 1533-position model. Lineage: Bacteria; Bacillati; Bacillota; Bacilli; Lactobacillales; Carnobacteriaceae. The record is from RNAcentral.
CGGAGAACGCUGCGGCAUGCCUAAUACAUGCAAGUCGAAACGCUGAAGCACUCUGCUUGCAGAGUGCGGAUGAGUGGCGAACGGGUGAGUAACACGUGGGAAAUCUGCCUAAGAGUGGGGGAUAACAUUCGGAAACGGAUGCUAAUACCGCAUAGAUUCUUGAACCGCAUGGUUCUGGAAAGAAAGACGGCUUUGCUGUCGCUUUUAGAUGAUCCCGCGGCGUAUUAGUUAGUUGGUGGGGUAAUGGCCUACCAAGACCAUGAUACGUAGCCGACCUGAGAGGGUGAUCGGCCACACUGGGACUGAGACACGGCCCAGACUCCUACGGGAGGCAGCAGUAGGGAAUCUUCCACAAUGGGUGCAAACCUGAUGGAGCAAUGCCGCGUGAAUGAAGAAGGUCUUCGGAUCGUAAAGUUCUGUUAUUAGAGAAGAACAAGUCGAGGAGUAACUGUCUCGACUUUGACGGUACCUAACCAGAAAGUCACGGCUAACUACGUG